GUCGACCUACGCGACUGGCGCUUCAAAAGGAGAAACUCUUGAUCUUAGUUUAGAGACCUAUCUUCAGAAGGGGCCUUUACUCUUUUGAUUAGCGUAGGGGUCGCGAGAGAGCAGAGUGUACCGCCCUACCAUAGUCACGAGUCUGUUUAUAGUCACGACAUUUGUCAUAGUCAAAGAGGUUGAAACUUCCAAGAAAAAACUUUGAAUUAGGAGGGCGAUCCUCCCGGUGAAUUGACCGUACCCAAAACCAACACAGGUGAACAAGUAGAGUAUACUAGGGUGCUUGAGAGAACCAUGUUGAAGGAACUCGGCAAAAUGACCCCGUAAAUUCAGGAGAAGGGGUGCUCUCCUUUCUUUUGAUUAGGAAAGCGGCACAUACCAGGGGGUAGCGAAUAUUUGUUAAAAACUUAGGUCUUUGCAAAGUUGUAACACGAUGUAUAGAGUAUAACACAUGUCGGUGCUGGAAGGUGAGAAGGAGAAGUGUUAUAAGCAUUGAAUGGAAAUCCCAGUAAACUGCGGCAGUAACUCUAAAUGUCCUAAGGUAGUUAAAUUCCUUGUCGCAUAAGUAGAGACCUGCACAAAUGUGUAACUACUGUCGCGCUGUCUCCAACAUGGACCCGGUGAAAUUGAAUUCUCCGUGAAGAUGCGGAGUACCAACAGCUAGGCGGUAAGACCCCGUGCACCUUAACUAUAGAUUCGAGUGACAACCUUAAUUGAAUGAGUAAGAUAGGUGGGAAGUGGUGACACACAAUGAUAAACCCUGAAAGACCACUCUUUCGUCUAAGGAUUCCUAACCGCCACACCGAUCAUUGGGGGGAGGCAGGACACUGCGAGGUAGGUAGUUUAUCUGGAGCGGAUGCCUCUUAAAGAGUAACAGAGGUAUACAAAAGGUAGGUAAACAUAAUAUUCUGCUCAUGAGUGUAAUUGUAUAAGCCUGCUAACUGUGAGACCGACUGGUCGAACAAAUAUGAAAGUUGUCCAUUGUGAUCCAAGAGUCCCGUGUGGAAGGGAUCUCGCUCAAUUGAUCAAAUGUACGCCAGGGAUAACAGGCUGAUGAAUCCCAAGAUCCUUUAUCCACAGAGUCGUUUAGCACCUCGAUGUCGACUCAUCACAUCAUGUGUUUGAAGAAAGUCCCAAGAGUUCAGUUGUUUGCCGAUUUAAGUGGUACGUGAGUUGGUUUUAGAACAUCGUGAGAUAGUUUGGUUCCUAUCUACCGUUGGUGUUAAAGGGAGAACUGUGAGGAGCCAACCCUAGUACGAGCGGACUGGGUUGUGUUAACCUAUCGUGUACUGGUUGUUAUGCCAAUAGCAAUGCUGGGUACCUAAGUUGGUAUAGAAGAAUUGUUGCGCCGCAGGAAAUCCUUCUCUAUACAAGUUCUUGGAUGAGGUCUUUGAACAGAACUUCGAUAGGCGAGAGGUGUAAGCUCCGCGAGGUGUGAAGCGAUCUCGUACUAAACGAAAUGACUUUCACUU
This 1472-nucleotide ribosomal RNA is filed under the name Solanum pimpinellifolium. RNAcentral's name for it is "bacterial LSU rRNA". It matches the Rfam family "Bacterial large subunit ribosomal RNA", at positions 1429 to 2925 of the family's 2925-position model. The record is from RNAcentral. Lineage: Eukaryota; Viridiplantae; Streptophyta; Magnoliopsida; Solanales; Solanaceae.